UGAGGAAUUUUCUGCAAUGGGCGAAAGCCUGACAGAGCAAUACCGCGUGAGGGAUGAAAGCCUAUGGGUUGUAAACCUCUUUUCUCAAGGAGGAAGAUAUGACGUUACUUGAGGAAUAAGCAUCGGCUAACCCUGUGCCAGCAGCCGCGGUAAUACAGGGGAUGCAAGUGUUAUCCGGAUUUAUUGGGCGUAAAGCGUCUGCAGGUUGAUAUUUAAGUCUUUUGUUAAACCUUCGGGCUUAACCUGAAUUCUGCAAAAGAAACUAUUUAUCUUGAGUAUGGUAGAGGUAAAGGGAAUUUCCAGUGGAGCGGUGAAAUGCGUAGAGAUUGGAAAGAACACCAACAGCGAAGGCACUUUACUGGGCCAUUACUGACACUGAGAGACGAAAGCUAGGGGAGCAAAUGGG
This 406-nucleotide ribosomal RNA is filed under the name uncultured bacterium. RNAcentral describes it as "bacterial SSU rRNA". It matches the Rfam family "Bacterial small subunit ribosomal RNA", at positions 355 to 776 of the family's 1533-position model. The record is from RNAcentral.